RNAcentral lists this ribosomal RNA (489 nucleotides) under uncultured bacterium. RNAcentral's name for it is "partial 16S ribosomal RNA". It matches the Rfam family "Bacterial small subunit ribosomal RNA", at positions 30 to 506 of the family's 1533-position model. The record is from RNAcentral.
AUUGAACGCUGGCGGCAGGCCUAACACAUGCAAGUCGAACGGUAACAGGAAGAAGCUUGCUUCUUUGCUGACGAGUGGCGGACGGGUGAGUAAUGUCUGGGAAACUGCCUGAUGGAGGGGGAUAACUACUGGAAACGGUAGCUAAUACCGCAUAACGUCGCAAGACCAAAAAGGGGGACCUUCGGGCCUCUUGCCAUCGGAUGUGCCCAGAUGGGAUUAGCUAGUAGGUGGGGUAACGGCUCACCUAGGCGACGAUCCCUAGCUGGUCUGAGAGGAUGACCAGCCACACUGGAACUGAGACACGGUCCAGACUCCUACGGGAGGCAGCAGUGGGGAAUAUUGCACAAUGGGCGCAAGCCUGAUGCAGCCAUGCCGCGUGUAUGAAGAAGGCCUUCGGGUUGUAAAGUACUUUCAGCGGGGAGGAAGGGAGUAAAGUUAAUACCUGUGCUCAUUGACGUUACCCGCAGAAGAAACACCGGCUAACUCCGU